AUACAGAGGGUGCAAGCGUUAAUCGGAAUUACUGGGCGUAAAGCGAGCGUAGGUGGCUUGAUAAGUCAGAUGUGAAAUCCCCGGGCUUAACCUGGGAACUGCAUCUGAUACUGUUAGGCUAGAAUAGGUGAGAGGAAGGUAGAAUUCCAGGUGUAGCGGUGAAAUGCGUAGAGAUCUGGAGGAAUACCGAUGGCGAAGGCAGCCUUCUGGCAUCAUAUUGACACUGAGGUUCGAAAGCGUGGGUAGCAAACAGGAUUAGAAACCCUAGUAGUCC
This 274-nucleotide ribosomal RNA is filed under the name uncultured bacterium. Its description in RNAcentral is "partial 16S ribosomal RNA". It matches the Rfam family "Bacterial small subunit ribosomal RNA", at positions 523 to 796 of the family's 1533-position model. The record is from RNAcentral.